UGGGGAAUUUUGCACAAUGGGGGAAACCCUGAUGCAGCGACGCCGCGUGAUCUAGAAGGCCUUCGGGUUGUAAAAAUCUUUUUUACGGGAUGAAAAUGACAGUACCGUAAGAAUAAGGUCCGGCUAAAUACGUGCCAGCAGCCGCGGUAAUACGUAUGGACCGAGCGUUGUCCGGAAUCAUUGGGCGUAAAGGGUACGUAGGCGGCCUAGUAAGUUAGAAGUGAAAUAAUAUAGCUCAACUAUAUAAAGCUUUUAAAACUGCUAGGCUUGAGAGAUGGAAGGGAAAGUGGAAUUCCUAGUGUAGCGGUGAAAUGCGCAGAUAUUAGGAAGAAUACCGGUGGCGAAGGCGACUUUCUGGUCAUCAUCUGACGCUGAGGUACGAAAGCGUGGGUAGCAAACAGG
This 402-nucleotide ribosomal RNA is filed under the name bacterium. Its description in RNAcentral is "partial 16S ribosomal RNA". It matches the Rfam family "Bacterial small subunit ribosomal RNA", at positions 355 to 776 of the family's 1533-position model. The record is from RNAcentral.